ACACGACUACAUUAGAUACCCCUGUAGUCCUAGCCGUAAACGAUACUCGCUAGGUGUCGGCCACGGUGCGACCGUUGUCGGUGCCGUAGGGAAGCCGUGAAGCGAGCCACCUGGGAAGUACGGCCGCAAGGCUGAAACUUAAAGGAAUUGGCGGGGGAGCACCACAACGGGUGGGGCCUGCGGUUUAAUUGGACUCAACGCCGGGAAGCUCACCGGAUAAGACAGCGGAAUGAUUGCCGGGCUGAAGACCCUGCAUGACCAGCUG
RNAcentral lists this ribosomal RNA (265 nucleotides) under uncultured archaeon. RNAcentral describes it as "partial 16S ribosomal RNA". It matches the Rfam family "Archaeal small subunit ribosomal RNA", at positions 717 to 982 of the family's 1478-position model. The record is from RNAcentral.